Molecule: ribosomal RNA, 448 nt
Filed under: Lachnospiraceae bacterium canine oral taxon 073
Lineage: Bacteria; Bacillati; Bacillota; Clostridia; Lachnospirales; Lachnospiraceae
Description: bacterial SSU rRNA
Rfam family: Bacterial small subunit ribosomal RNA
Source: RNAcentral
GAGUUUGAUUCUGGCUCAGGAUGAACGCUGGCGGCAUGCCUAACACAUGCAAGUUGAACGAGAAGUUUUGGAGGGAGUCUUCGGACGAACGAAGGAAUGGAAAGUAGCGAACGGGUGAGUAACGCGUGGGCAACCAACCUUACACAGGGGGAUAACGCAGAGAAAUUUGCGCUAAUACCGCAUAAGCGCACAGUACCGCAUGGUACCGUGUGAAAAACUCCGGUGGUGUAAGACGGGCCCGCGUCUGAUUAGUUAGUUGGUGAGGUAAAAGCUCACCAAGGCGACGAUCAGUAGCCGACCUGAGAGGGUGAUCGGCCACAUUGGGACUGAGACACGGCCCAAACUCCUACGGGAGGCAGCAGUGGGGGAUAUUGCACAAUGGAGGGAACUCUGAUGCAGCAAUGCCGCGUGAAGGAAGACGGUUUUCGGAUUGUAAACUUCUAUCAGC